CCUACGGGUGGCAGCAGUCGAGAAUCAUUCACAAUGGGGGAAACCCUGAUGGUGCGACGCCGCGUGGGGGAAUGAAGGUCUUCGGAUUGUAAACCCCUGUCAUGUGGGAGCAAAUUAAAAAGAUAGUACCACAAGAGGAAGAGACGGCUAACUCUGUGCCAGCAGCCGCGGUAAUACAGAGGUCUCAAGCGUUGUUCGGAAUCACUGGGCGUAAAGCGUGCGUAGGCUGUGUCGUAAGUCGGGUGUGAAAGGCGCGGGCUCAACCCGCGGACGGCACAUGAUACUGCGAGACUAGAGUAAGGGAGGGGGAACCGGAAUGCUCGGUGUAGCAGUGAAAUGCGUAGAUAUCGAGAGGAACACUCGUGGCGAAGGCGGGUUCCUGGACAUUAACUGACGCUGAGGCACGAAGGCCAGGGGAGCGAAAGGGAUUAGAUACCCCAGUAGUC
This 446-nucleotide ribosomal RNA is filed under the name uncultured bacterium. RNAcentral describes it as "partial 16S ribosomal RNA". It matches the Rfam family "Bacterial small subunit ribosomal RNA", at positions 338 to 795 of the family's 1533-position model. The record is from RNAcentral.